Molecule: ribosomal RNA, 410 nt
Filed under: Pavo cristatus (Indian peafowl)
Lineage: Eukaryota; Metazoa; Chordata; Aves; Galliformes; Phasianidae
Description: partial small subunit ribosomal RNA
Rfam family: Bacterial small subunit ribosomal RNA
Source: RNAcentral
CCUAAUCUAGAUGCCCCUCAUACACCUACAUCCGCCCGAGAACUACGAGCACAAACGCUUAAAACUCUAAGGACUUGGCGGUGCCUCAAACCCACCUAGAGGAGCCUGUUCUAUAACCGAUAAUCCACGAUCCACCUAACCACCCCUUGCCAACACAGCCUACAUACCGCCGUCGCCAGCUCACCUCUAAUGAAAGAACAACAGUGAGCCCAACAGUCCCCACUAGCAAGACAGGUCAAGGUAUAGCCCAUGGGGUGGAAGAAAUGGGCUACAUUUUCUAGCAUAGAACAUAACGGAAAAGAGCGUGAAACUCGCCCUUAGAAGGAGGAUUUAGCAGUAAAGUAGGACCACACUCCCCUUCAAGCCUUCUUAAAGACGGCCCUGAGGCACGUACACACCGCCCGUCACCC